RNAcentral lists this ribosomal RNA (1755 nucleotides) under Escherichia coli. Its description in RNAcentral is "partial 23S ribosomal RNA". It matches the Rfam family "Bacterial large subunit ribosomal RNA", at positions 396 to 2136 of the family's 2925-position model. Lineage: Bacteria; Pseudomonadati; Pseudomonadota; Gammaproteobacteria; Enterobacterales; Enterobacteriaceae. The record is from RNAcentral.
ACUGUGAGCUCGAUGAGUAGGGCGGGACACGUGGUAUCCUGUCUGAAUAUGGGGGGACCAUCCUCCAAGGCUAAAUACUCCUGACUGACCGAUAGUGAACCAGUACCGUGAGGGAAAGGCGAAAAGAACCCCGGCGAGGGGAGUGAAAAAGAACCUGAAACCGUGUACGUACAAGCAGUGGGAGCACGCUUAGGCGUGUGACUGCGUACCUUUUGUAUAAUGGGUCAGCGACUUAUAUUCUGUAGCAAGGUUAACCGAAUAGGGGAGCCGAAGGGAAACCGAGUCUUAACUGGGCGUUAAGUUGCAGGGUAUAGACCCGAAACCCGGUGAUCUAGCCAUGGGCAGGUUGAAGGUUGGGUAACACUAACUGGAGGACCGAACCGACUAAUGUUGAAAAAUUAGCGGAUGACUUGUGGCUGGGGGUGAAAGGCCAAUCAAACCGGGAGAUAGCUGGUUCUCCCCGAAAGCUAUUUAGGUAGCGCCUCGUGAAUUCAUCUCCGGGGGUAGAGCACUGUUUCGGCAAGGGGGUCAUCCCGACUUACCAACCCGAUGCAAACUGCGAAUACCGGAGAAUGUUAUCACGGGAGACACACGGCGGGUGCUAACGUCCGUCGUGAAGAGGGAAACAACCCAGACCGCCAGCUAAGGUCCCAAAGUCAUGGUUAAGUGGGAAACGAUGUGGGAAGGCCCAGACAGCCAGGAUGUUGGCUUAGAAGCAGCCAUCAUUUAAAGAAAGCGUAAUAGCUCACUGGUCGAGUCGGCCUGCGCGGAAGAUGUAACGGGGCUAAACCAUGCACCGAAGCUGCGGCAGCGACGCUUAUGCGUUGUUGGGUAGGGGAGCGUUCUGUAAGCCUGUGAAGGUGUGCUGUGAGGCAUGCUGGAGGUAUCAGAAGUGCGAAUGCUGACAUAAGUAACGAUAAAGCGGGUGAAAAGCCCGCUCGCCGGAAGACCAAGGGUUCCUGUCCAACGUUAAUCGGGGCAGGGUGAGUCGACCCCUAAGGCGAGGCCGAAAGGCGUAGUCGAUGGGAAACAGGUUAAUAUUCCUGUACUUGGUGUUACUGCGAAGGGGGGACGGAGAAGGCUAUGUUGGCCGGGCGACGGUUGUCCCGGUUUAAGCGUGUAGGCUGGUUUUCCAGGCAAAUCCGGAAAAUCAAGGCUGAGGCGUGAUGACGAGGCACUACGGUGCUGAAGCAACAAAUGCCCUGCUUCCAGGAAAAGCCUCUAAGCAUCAGGUAACAUCAAAUCGUACCCCAAACCGACACAGGUGGUCAGGUAGAGAAUACCAAGGCGCUUGAGAGAACUCGGGUGAAGGAACUAGGCAAAAUGGUGCCGUAACUUCGGGAGAAGGCACGCUGAUAUGUAGGUGAAGCGACUUGCUCGUGGAGCUGAAAUCAGUCGAAGAUACCAGCUGGCUGCAACUGUUUAUUAAAAACACAGCACUGUGCAAACACGAAAGUGGACGUAUACGGUGUGACGCCUGCCCGGUGCCGGAAGGUUAAUUGAUGGGGUCAGCGCAAGCGAAGCUCUUGAUCGAAGCCCCGGUAAACGGCGGCCGUAACUAUAACGGUCCUAAGGUAGCGAAAUUCCUUGUCGGGUAAGUUCCGACCUGCACGAAUGGCGUAAUGAUGGCCAGGCUGUCUCCACCCGAGACUCAGUGAAAUUGAACUCGCUGUGAAGAUGCAGUGUACCCGCGGCAAGACGGAAAGACCCCGUGAACCUUUACUAUAGCUUGACACUGAACAUUGAGCCUUGAUG